Carassius auratus (goldfish) is the source of this 1240-nucleotide long non-coding RNA. RefSeq lists it as uncharacterized. The record is from RefSeq and is a predicted model, not a curated record. The transcript has 7 exons. NCBI's taxonomy places the organism in Eukaryota, Metazoa, Chordata, Actinopteri, Cypriniformes, Cyprinidae.
UUAAACAACGCCAUUUUAUUUUCUCCCGUUUCAUUUUCGAGUCACCUUAAGCGGCAUCUCUUUAUUCCCUCAUUGUGGUCGCUCUGGUGGCGGCAAGUUAGUCAGUUAAAUUUUCCCGCCUGGUCUUAUUGUUGCCUCAGGUCAGACGUCGCCUAUUUUUUCUGCCUGACAGUGUAAAUUAAUCUUUCCGAGUUGCCUCAGGCGGCGCCCAGUUAACGUUGGUCCGUCAUUGUUAUCACUCCGGUGGCGGCAAGUUACUCAUUUCAGUUUUCCUGCUUUGUCUUCGAGUUGCCUGAGAAGUGUCAGACGAGCGCGAGUUUUUUUUUCCUCGACAGUGCAAUCGCUCUGGCAGCUGCUAAGGUGGCUCCAAACUGGUCAUUUCAGUUUUCAUGCUUCGUCUUCGAGUUGCCUGAGAAGUGUCAGACGAGCGCGAGUUUUUUUUUUCCUCGACAGUGCAAUCGCUCUGGCAGCUGCUUAGGUGGCUCCAAACUGGUCAUUUCAACCUCUCCUGCUUCGUCUUCGAGAAGUCUUUUAGUCAUUCAGUGUCUUUUUUUUCCCAGACAGUAUCAUGACUUAGGUUGAUGCAGUGCAAGAUAUGCAGAUUUGAACACCCUGCCUAGGAGGUCCUUUUGAAACAUGACCAGUUGUGCCACUACCAGGGAAGAUACUGCCAACUACCCUGCCUCUACACAGAUUGCAUCUGCUCCUUUAAAACCACUGGUUGACGCCUCACCUUUUAAGAUCACACAAGUGCUUAUCUUCACGUGAGAGUCACUUAACAUUGAAUGAUGGAAUUGUGUGACUUUAAGGAAAUUUGUAAAACACCCUAUUACUCCAAACAUAUAAGGAGCCAUUUAAAAAAAAUAAUGAAACUUUAAGGUGCCCUUUUAGCCAAUGUGGUUUUUGAAACACAUCUGAUUUCAUCAUCCAGUGGUCACAGAAGUCAAAAUCAUUGCAGCUUUUCCAUUACAGACUUUAAAGCAAAUAUCAUUAUUCAAAAUGCAGAACCAAAAGACAGCGAGCCACAAACUGUUGUUAUGCACACACUUUUAUCACCAUUGCAGUUAAUUUUAUAUUGCUUGUGAUAGAUAUGAAGGACAGAUAUGGAAGCCAAUACAUUUUUUACUGGACCCGUUGUUAUUUUUGCACAUUAUUUUGGACUUGAAUUUUGUGAUAGUUAAUUUAAUUGGGAAAGCAUCAAAUAAAAACUGUGUAGAAGUUUUUAAUUUUGCAACACAAA